RNAcentral lists this ribosomal RNA (491 nucleotides) under uncultured bacterium. RNAcentral describes it as "partial 16S ribosomal RNA". It matches the Rfam family "Bacterial small subunit ribosomal RNA", at positions 29 to 507 of the family's 1533-position model. The record is from RNAcentral.
AGUGAGCGCUGGCGGUAGGCCUAACACAUGCAAGUCGAACGGCAGCACAGUAAGAGCUUGCUCUUACGGGUGGCGAGUGGCGGACGGGUGAGGAAUACAUCGGAAUCUACUUUUUCGUGGGGGAUAACGUAGGGAAACUUACGCUAAUACCGCAUACGACCUACGGGUGAAAGCAGGGGAUCUUCGGACCUUGCGCGAUUGAAUGAGCCGAUGUCGGAUUAGCUAGUUGGCGGGGUAAAGGCCCACCAAGGCGACGAUCCGUAGCUGGUCUGAGAGGAUGAUCAGCCACACUGGAACUGAGACACGGUCCAGACUCCUACGGGAGGCAGCAGUGGGGAAUAUUGGACAAUGGGCGCAAGCCUGAUCCAGCCAUACCGCGUGGGUGAAGAAGGCCUUCGGGUUGUAAAGCCCUUUUGUUGGGAAAGAAAGCAGCAGGUUAAUACCCCGCUGUUCUGACGGUACCCAAAGAAUAAGCACCGGCUAACUUCGUG